Molecule: transfer RNA, 76 nt
Filed under: Deltaproteobacteria bacterium
Lineage: Bacteria; Pseudomonadati; Myxococcota; Myxococcia
Description: tRNA-Ala
Rfam family: tRNA
About the family: Transfer RNA (tRNA) molecules are approximately 80 nucleotides in length. Their secondary structure includes four short double-helical elements and three loops (D, anti-codon, and T loops).
Source: RNAcentral
GGGGCCGUAGCUCAGUUGGGAGAGCGCGUCGUUCGCAAUGACGAGGCCGGCGGUUCGAUCCCGCCCGGCUCCACCA